Molecule: ribosomal RNA, 162 nt
Filed under: uncultured bacterium
Lineage: Bacteria
Description: partial 16S rRNA
Rfam family: Bacterial small subunit ribosomal RNA
Source: RNAcentral
GGAAUCUUCCACAAUGGACGCAAGUCUGAUGGAGCAACGCCGCGUGAGUGAAGAAGGUCUUCGGAUCGUAAAGCUCUGUUGUAAGAGAAGAACGUGUGUGAGAGUGGAAAGUUCACACAGUGACGGUAACUUACCAGAAAGGGACGGCUAACUACGUGCCAG